CUGGCCUCAACAAUACAUUUCAUUGUUUUCCAGGGAAACCAACCAUCAAAACCGGCACCAACCAUUAGGUGCUCACCUGGAUUCGUGCUCUCUGCCAUUGAUCUAUUAACCGAAGAUCAAUAUGCAAAUGUCAAGGCUACUCCAUUUGGUGAAAUUCUGAACCUAAAAGCUGAUGCUCUUGAGUCCAGGAAUUUGCCGGUAUUCCUUAUGAACAAGACUGACAAGGACACUCUAAUAAUCAACGUCGGCACUCAAGGUGGACUGAAAAUUACCCCGCAUGCUGUGCAUUGUGUCAUGGGCACUCCACUUGGUGGUCGUGACCCAUCGGUCUGUUCUGUCACCCAAAAGAAUGAGCUGCUUAGACUCAAGAACGAGCUGAGCGUGCCAGUCGAUCAGAAUAUAACCUACAAAACUCUGUGCGACUAUAUAAAGUUGAAGAGGCCUGAUGAUUUGUCCACAAGAUGUUUCAUUCUGAUUAUAUUCAACUGGUUACUCUUUCCUUCCACAAGGACAUAUAUAUCUGGUAGGGAGGCUGCUUGGACUGCAGACAUUGCUAAUAUUGGUGCGAUCGAUUGGUCCAAAGCUGUUGUUGAUUACAUGAGGGAUAGUGUUGCAACAUGGCACUCCAAGAAGAACAACAAUGGAGUAUUGUCCAUUUCUGGUUGUGUGCUCUUUUUAAUAAUUUACUAUUUGGACAAUCUCCUGAGUGUCAAUAUGUUGGAUGCGUCUCAAACACCACGCAUAGCUUUCUACAACACUGGGAAGAUGCAAGCUAUCUUAAGUGAGGAUAAGUCGAAGAACAAGCCAGACUCGGAGUCAUAUGGCAACCUACCGCUUCGGUCCCAGGAGGGUACUUGCUACUUGGAUGUUAAUGCCAACGCGACAUCAGCAAGCCAUGCUCAACCUCAUGCCCAUUCUGUUCUGUUCAUUAGCAUGCUGGAGCAACUCAGGGACUGCGUGGAUCAACUACCUCAAUCAAAGCAGGCUGUGGCAUUUGCUGCUAUACGGAGGUGUGAUGAUUCAGUUGCCAAACUACUUGCUGAUGUUUCUCUCGAACAACGCAAGGUUGUAUCGGAGUUACGCUGCAUAAUGCUCGAUCCUUCGACGUCUUCGCCAUCACCUCCAAUUCAGAGGGAUCCUAAGCCAAUUUCUCGUGCUGCGGCACAUUUGGAUAAUGUAGCGGCUUUUGCUACUUUUCUUGAUGGCCCAGCAGAACGGUCGAUUCAUGACAUUCCUGCUGCUACAGACAAUAUUGAAGUUGAUGGCACCAGUAUACAAUCCGAAGCCGACCGCAGUGUUCAGCGAAACGAUGGUGUGGAUCCCAGCAAGAAUCUUCCAUCGUCAGGUAUUGGUCAUGAUGGCACAUAA
RNAcentral lists this ribosomal RNA (1368 nucleotides) under Triticum aestivum (bread wheat). RNAcentral describes it as "partial small subunit ribosomal RNA". Lineage: Eukaryota; Viridiplantae; Streptophyta; Magnoliopsida; Poales; Poaceae. The record is from RNAcentral.